AGCGAACGCUGGCGGCAGGCUUAACACAUGCAGGUCGAGCGGGCACUUCGGUGUCAGCGGCAGACGGGUGAGUAACACGUGGGAACGUACCCUUCGGUUCGGAAUAACGCUGGGAAACUAGCGCUAAUACCGGAUACGCCCUUUUGGGGAAAGGUUUACUGCCGAAGGAUCGGCCCGCGUCUGAUUAGCUAGUUGGUGGGGUAAUGGCCUACCAAGGCGACGAUCAGUAGCUGGUCUGAGAGGAUGAUCAGCCACACUGGGACUGAGACACGGCCCAGACUCCUACGGGAGGCAGCAGUGGGGAAUAUUGGACAAUGGGCGCAAGCCUGAUCCAGCCAUGCCGCGUGAGUGAUGAAGGCCUUAGGGUUGUAAAGCUCUUUUGUCCGGGACGAUAAUGACGGUACCGGAAGAAUAAGCCCCGGCUAACUUCGUG
Molecule: ribosomal RNA, 433 nt
Filed under: uncultured bacterium
Lineage: Bacteria
Description: partial 16S ribosomal RNA
Rfam family: Bacterial small subunit ribosomal RNA
Source: RNAcentral